RNAcentral lists this unclassified non-coding RNA (1537 nucleotides) under Hevea brasiliensis (rubber tree). The record is from RNAcentral. Lineage: Eukaryota; Viridiplantae; Streptophyta; Magnoliopsida; Malpighiales; Euphorbiaceae.
CUAAGAUACCCAUUGGAUUAUAAAUCUUGAGCCAAUGGGAAAUAAAUAAUAAAUCCAGACAUUGUUUUUACUCUUGUUCCACCAAUCCUUCUGUUCUUCCUUCUUUGUCAAUCUCAUCGAUCAGCACCCACCAGCCUUCUCUGCCCUUUACACCAUUCCACGUUCUCUUCUCUCCCUCCCCCGUACAUUCUCUAGCUGGUCAUCCCUCGCCACCGAUCCAGGUUUCAUUGAGCUGGUUAUUAUCAUCGGUAGCCACACUACACUGCUGGUGGUUGAGAUCUGUAAAGAUGCAGUCACAUUCUGGAGAUGCUUCCUUUAUGGUGAAAAAAGAAACAAAUGACUACACCAGUUCAAGUUUUGCUGGUCAUCAAGAUAGAACUCUUCAAGGGCCUAUAGAAGUUUCUUCAUCUGAGGAAGAUGACUCUCAUGACACAGAGGAUACGGAUGACCCGUCUGUUGAAAAUGCUUCAAAGCAAUUGGUACUUUAUGAUCCUGUGGCUAAUGGUACUGCUGUAACUGAACCUGCCCCUCAACCAAUUCAGUGCCAGCCUGCAGCGUUUGGAAGAAAUUUGGGUUCUAAUAUGCCUUCUAGAGUUUUGCCAUCUGUAGGGGCUUUCACUGUCCAGUGUGCCGACUGCUUUAAAUGGAGGCUCAUCCCAACAAAGGAGAAGUAUGAAGAAAUACGUGAACAUAUUCUAGAGCAGCCUUUCUAUUGCAAAACGGCUUGUGAGUGGCGGCCUGAUAUAUCAUGUGAUGAUCCAACUGACAUUUCUCAAGAUGGCAGUAGGCUCUGGGCAAUUGAUAAACCUAACAUUGCCCAGCCACCUCGUGGGUGGCAACGGCUGUUACGAAUUAGAGGUGAAGGGAGUACCAAAUUUGCAGACGUGUACUAUGAGUCACCAUCAGGCAAGAGGCUCCGCUCAAUGGUAGAGAUCCAAAAGUACUUAAUGGAUCAUCCUGAAUAUGUGCAAGACGGGGUAACACUGUCACAAUUUUCAUUUCAAAUCCCAAAGCCUUUGCAGGAGAACUAUGUGAGAAAGCGUCCUGCCCGUGUAUCAGCUACAUGUGAUGACACUAGACCUCUUGAGCCUAAUGAAGGUACUUGAAAGACUCGGAUUGAAUUUUUUACACAAACUAAAGAGAGAAUUUUUGCUGAACUGAUUUUAGUUUGUAUCUGAAUGACAUAAUGUUCCACCAGUUUUUACAUGGCACAAAAGGCCAAUUUGGUCCUUGCAUUUAGCACCAAGGCUCAAUUAGGUAAAAAAUAGCUCUUACGGCCAAAUUGACAUUGAACUCGGCAAAUUGGAUUAAGGUGACUCAAAUUUGGAAACUGAGACACAAAACGCAGUAGAGUAGAGGCGAGUGAGCGCUGGCAGAUUGGAAUGACAAAUUACAUUUUUGUCCUUGAUACUUUAUGAAAAUAAUUACGUCAUUUUUUCAAGAUUUUUUUUAAAAUAAUAUUUUUUUCAAAGAAUAUUUUCAAAAUGUGUUGGAAUUGUUGAAUAUUAUUGAAUUUUUUUUUUAUUUUAAUUUUCAA